AUUGAACGCUGGCGGCAUGCCUUACACAUGCAAGUCGAACGGUAACAGGUCUUCGGAUGCUGACGAGUGGCGAACGGGUGAGCAAUACAUCGGAACGUGCCUAGUAGUGGGGGAUAACUACUCGAAAGAGUGGCUAAUACCGCAUGAGAUCUACGGAUGAAAGCAGGGGAUCGCAAGACCUUGUGCUACUAGAGCGGCCGAUGGCAGAUUAGGUAGUUGGUGGGACAAAAGCUUACCAAGCCGACGAUCUGUAGCUGGUCUGAGAGGACGAUCAGCCACACUGGGACUGAGACACGGCCCAGACUCCUACGGGAGGCAGCAGUGGGGAAUUUUGGACAAUGGGCGAAAGCCUGAUCCAGCAAUGCCGCGUGCAGGAUGAAGGCCUUCGGGUUGUAAACUGCUUUUGUACGGAACGAAAAGCCCUGGGUUAAUACCCUGGGGUCAUGACGGUACCGUAAGAAUAAGCACCGGCUAACUACGUGCCAGCCGCCGCGGUAA
RNAcentral lists this ribosomal RNA (498 nucleotides) under uncultured bacterium. RNAcentral describes it as "partial 16S ribosomal RNA". It matches the Rfam family "Bacterial small subunit ribosomal RNA", at positions 30 to 523 of the family's 1533-position model. The record is from RNAcentral.